Mastomys coucha (southern multimammate mouse) is the source of this 104-nucleotide small nuclear RNA. The record is from RefSeq and is a predicted model, not a curated record. NCBI's taxonomy places the organism in Eukaryota, Metazoa, Chordata, Mammalia, Rodentia, Muridae.
UUGCUUCAGCAGCAAAUAUAAUAAGAUUAGAAACAAUACAGGAAAGAUUAGCACAGCCCCUGUGCAAAGAUGGCACGCGGGUUUAUGAAGCAUUCCACAUUUUU